This 648-nucleotide long non-coding RNA is filed under the name Triticum aestivum (bread wheat). Its description in RNAcentral is "long non-coding RNA (TAES_LNC004976)". Lineage: Eukaryota; Viridiplantae; Streptophyta; Magnoliopsida; Poales; Poaceae. The record is from RNAcentral.
GCUAACCCUAGUGCCACGGUCGCCGGUCCACGGCGUCGCCAUCAACGCCGGCGCUGUGCCUGCACCUCCGGUUGGUCCUCCCCGACCCCGCCCAAACUUUCGCGCACUGCAUCGCCUCCUGGUCGCUGUCCAGGCGUCGCCAUCGACUGGAGGAGCGCGGGACCGUCGUCCUCGCGUUCGUGCACCUCCAGAAAGAAGACUGCUCGAGGUGAGACGCCUCGGAUCCGUCGUGCGAAGGUGGAGGUGAGUGCCCUCUCCACUUCCACCAUUUCCCCCCUCUCUCUCUGUUUUGAUCCCUUUUUUUCUGCAGCUUGACAUAUAGGUUAGUGUAUGUGUGUGUGCAGCAGCUCCAGAGGGACGAACGUCAAGGUAGCCACUGCUCCGUAGGUAUGAAUCGGUUCCCUAGCCUCUUAUGAGCCCUACUUUUCAACGAGCAAGGUUGGCUGCUAAGUUUAUGUUAUUUGAUGCCUCUGGUUCUUUCAUGUAUGUAAGAGAUACUAUUUAGUUGUCUGCAUUUAUCUUAUUCGGUUCAGUUUGGUGUGCUUAUCAAUGGGUUGAUUCAAGAUAAUUUGUGAUUCUGCUAUCUAAUUGAUUGGUAUAUAUAUGUUUUUUUUAAUAUGAAUCACUUUAUGCAGAAGAUCUGAGUUC